AGUAAAAGUCGUAACAAGGUUUCCGUAGGUGAACCUGCGGAAGGAUCAUUAACGAGUUGAACGGGGUUGUAGCUGGCCUUCACGGGCAUGUGCACACCUCACUCAUCCACUCUACACCUGUGCACUUACUGUGGGUUUCGAGAGGCCGCACUUGCGUGGUUGAUCGGGCUCACGUCUAUUACAAACUCUUCAGUAUCAGAAUGUGUAUCGCGAUGUAACGCAUCUAUAUACAACUUUCAGCAACGGAUCUCUUGGCUCUCGCAUCGAUGAAGAACGCAGCGAAAUGCGAUAAGUAAUGUGAAUUGCAGAAUUCAGUGAAUCAUCGAAUCUUUGAACGCACCUUGCGCUCCUUGGUAUUCCGAGGAGCAUGCCUGUUUGAGUGUCGUGUAAUUCUCAACCUAUAAAUCCUUGUGGUUUUUAGGCUUGGACUUGGAGGCUUUUGCUGGCUUUACCGUCGGCUCCUCUUAAGCGCAUUAGCUUGAUUCCUUGCGGAUCGGCUCUCAGUGUGAUAAUUAUCUGCGCUGUGACCGUGAAGCGUUUGGCGAGCUUCUAACCGUCUCUUCGAGACAAACACUUUGACAUCUGACCUCAAAUCAGGUAGGACUACCCGCUGAACUUAAGCAUAUCAAUAAGCGGAGGA
This 640-nucleotide ribosomal RNA is filed under the name uncultured fungus. Its description in RNAcentral is "eukaryotic LSU rRNA". The stretch from base 232 to 385 matches the Rfam family "5.8S ribosomal RNA". The record is from RNAcentral. Lineage: Eukaryota; Fungi.